GAUGAACGCUGGCGGCGUGCCUAAUACAUGCAAGUAGAGCGCAGAGGCGAGGACUUUGUCCCUUUGACGUUUAGGGCGGAGGGGUGUGUAACGCAUAGGUAACCUCUCUAUACGACUGAGAACACUUCGAAAAACCGGAUCUAAUACCGUAACAUAUUUCGAACCGCAUUGUUCGAUAGUAAAAGAUGGCUUUGCUAUCACUUAUUGAUGGACCUGCGCCGUAUUAGCUAGUUGGUAAGGUAACGGCUUACCAAGGCAAUGAUACGUAGACGACCUGAGAGGGUGAUCGGCCACACUGGAACUGAGACACGGUCCAGACUCCUACGGGAGGCAGCAGUAGGGAAUCUUCCGCAUGGGGCGAAAGCCUGACGGAGCAACGCCGCGGGAUUGAUGAAGUUCUUCGGACCUUAAACCUCUGUUAUUAGGGAAAAACAAUCUUGGAAGUAACUGUGCACGUCUUGACGGUACCUAAUCAGAAAGCCACGGCUAACUACGUG
This 497-nucleotide ribosomal RNA is filed under the name uncultured bacterium. RNAcentral describes it as "partial 16S ribosomal RNA". It matches the Rfam family "Bacterial small subunit ribosomal RNA", at positions 28 to 507 of the family's 1533-position model. The record is from RNAcentral.